UAGACUAAAGUCCGUUGGCUUGGACAGCUAUUUGUUAAUUAGUUUUUUGCGGGAUCAAAGCCUGCUAGUCUAG
RNAcentral lists this transfer RNA (73 nucleotides) under Pareas stanleyi (Stanley's slug snake). RNAcentral's name for it is "tRNA-Asn". The record is from RNAcentral. Lineage: Eukaryota; Metazoa; Chordata; Lepidosauria; Squamata; Pareidae.